GAUGAACGCUGGCGGCGUGCCUAAUACAUGCAAGUCGAGCGAACGGACGAGAAGCUUGCUCCUCUGAUGUUAGCGGCGGACGGGUGAGUAACACGUGGAUAACCUACCUAUAAUACUGGGAUAACUUCGGGAAACCGGAGCUAAUACCGGAUCAUAUUUUGAACCGCAUGGUUCAAAAGUGAAAGACGGUUUUGCUGUCACUUAUAGAUGGAUCCGCGCUGCAUUAGCUAGUUGGUAAGGUAACGGCUUACCAAGGCAACGAUGCGUAGCCGACCUGAGAGGGUGAUCAGCCACACUGGAACUGAGACACGGUCCAGACUCCUACGGGAGGCAGCAGUAGGGAAUCUUCCACAAUGGGCGAAAGCCUGACGGAGCAACGCCGCGUGAGUGAUGAAGGUCUUCGGAUCGUAAAACUCUGUUAUUAGGGAAGAACAGAUGUGGAAGUAACUGUGCACGUCUUGACGGUACCUAAUCAGAAAGCCACGGCUAACUACGUG
RNAcentral lists this ribosomal RNA (497 nucleotides) under uncultured bacterium. RNAcentral's name for it is "partial 16S ribosomal RNA". It matches the Rfam family "Bacterial small subunit ribosomal RNA", at positions 28 to 507 of the family's 1533-position model. The record is from RNAcentral.